AUAGCGUAUAUUUAAGUUGUUGCAGUUAAAAAGCUCGUAGUUGGAUUUCGGUUGAGAACGGCCGGUCCGCCGUUUGGUGUGCACUGGCUGGUUUCAACUUCCUGUAGAGGACGCGCUCUGGCUUCACGGCUGGACGCGGAGUCUACGUGGUUACUUUGAAAAAAUUAGAGUGUUCAAAGCGGGCUUACGCUUGAAUAUUUCAGCAUGGAAUAACACUAUAGGACUCCUGUCCUAUUUCGUUGGUCUCGGGACGGGAGUAAUGAUUAAGAGGAACAGUUGGGGGCAUUCGUAUUUCAUUGUCAGAGGUGAAAUUCUUGGAUUUAUGAAAGACGAACUUCUGCGAAAGCAUUUGCCAAGGAUGUUUUCAUUAAUCAAGAACGAAAGUUGGGGGCUCGAAGAUGAUUAGAUACCAUCCUAGUCUCAACCAUAAACGAUGCCGACUAGGGAUUGCAGGAUGUUAAUUGAUGACUCCUGCAGCACCUUAUGAGAAAUCAAAGUUUUUGGGUUCCGGGGGGAGUAUGGUCGCAAGGCUGAAACUUAAAGGAAUUGACGGAAGGGCACCACCAGGCGUGGAGCCUGCGGCUUAAUUUGACUCAACAC
This 600-nucleotide ribosomal RNA is filed under the name uncultured marine picoplankton. RNAcentral describes it as "SSU rRNA". It matches the Rfam family "Eukaryotic small subunit ribosomal RNA", at positions 594 to 1206 of the family's 1831-position model. The record is from RNAcentral.